This is a long non-coding RNA of Gasterosteus aculeatus aculeatus (three-spined stickleback), 1328 nucleotides long. The record is from Ensembl. NCBI's taxonomy places the organism in Eukaryota, Metazoa, Chordata, Actinopteri, Perciformes, Gasterosteidae.
AAUGGAAUGGAAUCUUCAAGGCCAAGUUCCAGGACAAAGUACAUUCAUCUGUUCAUUGCGAGUCUGGCCACAGGACAGAGCACUGCAUAUUGUUUUGUGAGAGAAUUAAUCAGCGACGUUUGUCCUUAACGAGACUUAAUCAAGUAGCCUUUAGAUGGAUAUAUCACCAUUCUUCAAAGAUCACAUGGAGUCGUUAUCCGGCAAGCAAACAAACAGCCUUUUUCAAGGCUUCCAGCCUAUUUUGGCGCUUCACGUCUCGGGACUCCUCCCAACGGAUACAAGGUGAACAUGGCACUUUCUCGUGCCCGGGAUGAAGUGCACUACCUGAAAAGGAAGGUGAGCGAACUCACUGCUCACACUGAAACUGGGAGGUGCAGUUUGACCAACCUGUUAAAAGGCAAAGAUCUUGCCUAUGAGCAGACAAGAACAGAAAUAAGUUUUCAGACCUCAUCAGGGAGAACAAGGGUUUUCUCUGAAGCUCCACAGAGACCACCGAACAACUCGUUGUCAAAAAUGCUGAACCCACGGUCCAGGAGCAGGCCAACAACCACCAGUUGGUAGAAGAACACAAACUGCUAAAGAUCAAGACAGAGGCUCUGGAUGAGACUAUCAGGGAGAACGAGGGUAUAUCUCUGAAGCUCACCGAGACCAAAAAAAAACUUUCUGUCAUAAGUGCUGAUCUCAGGGUCAACAACGAGACCUGGCAGCAGUUGGAAGCAGAAAACAAACUGCUGAAGACCCAGAGGGAUUCUCUGGCUGCUUUAAAAAAGAGCCACCACCAUGAGGAGACCCACCACGAGAUGGUCACAAGCAGUGGUUUUGUGGUUUCACUGAGUUGUGUCUGAUCUCUAAGAUCCAACAAACGGAGGAUACCAUUCCCAAAGAAUAUCAGAUCCUUAUCACCAGGAUCCAAGAAUUAGAGGAGGACAAAACAGUCCUUGAAAACAUCUGCCUCGACUUAAAGAAACGGACCGGCAGACGGAGAUGGACAAAAUGAGGUGCAAGAUGCAGGACAAGGAGACAAAGAAAUAGGAGAGAGAAAAGAAGAAAAAGGAGACCAUCCAGGACGUCAAGAUCAACGUGCCUGAGACUGGACACAAGUAAGAACACCUUCCUUCGCCUCCCACUCCAUCCUACCUCAUCCAUCUACCCCCGCUCCCCUUCCACCCACGCUUCACAGCGCUCAAGAACCCUCGCGCCCCCACCGCCAGGGCCCCCAUCACACCUAAAUACCCCCCUGCCCCCUCCCUGCCCCUUCCACCAGCUCUAAAUAUGUGGGGGGCUAUAUAAUGGGGGGAGGGGGAGCGGGGGGACAGGGGAGGGGGGGG